RNAcentral lists this ribosomal RNA (655 nucleotides) under uncultured marine euryarchaeote. RNAcentral's name for it is "bacterial SSU rRNA". It matches the Rfam family "Archaeal small subunit ribosomal RNA", at positions 203 to 864 of the family's 1478-position model. Lineage: Archaea; Methanobacteriati; Methanobacteriota. The record is from RNAcentral.
GCAUAGAUGGCCUGCCCCUAUCAGUUGAAGGGGUGAAAGUACCUUCUAUCCAUCAACGCGUACGGGUGUUGGAGACAUUGCCCGGAGAUGAAUUCUGAGACACGAAUCCAGACCCUACGGGUGCAGCAGGCGCGAAAACUUGGCAAUGCGAGCAAUCGUGACCAGGGAACUCCAAGUGCGUAGGGUAAGACAUACGCUUUUCUUGACUCUUCAAAGUUCUUGGAAUAAGGGGUGGGUAAGGACGGUGCCAGCCACCGCGGUAAUACCGUCGCCUCAAGUGGUAUUCGAGUUUAUUGGGCCUCAAACGUCCGUCGCCUUUGUGGUACAUUCGUGGGUAAAUCAACCAGCUCAACUGGUUGUAAUUUCUGCGAGCACGUCCAGACUUGUGACCGGGAGAGUUGUGGGGUACGUUCAGGGUAGGGGUAAAAUCCUGUCAUCCUAAAAGGACCACCUGUUGCGAAGGCUCCACACUAGAACGGAUCCGACGGUCAGGGACGAAGCCUAGGGGCACGAACCGGAUUAGAUACCCGGGUAGUCCUAGGUGUAAACGCUGUGGACUUGGUGUUGGGGACUCUCCGAGAUUCCUCAGUGCCGAAGCGAAGGUGAUAAGUCCACUGCCUGGGGAGUACGUUCGCAAGGCUGAAACUCAAAUGAA